This 869-nucleotide ribosomal RNA is filed under the name Hylarana latouchii (broad-folded frog). Its description in RNAcentral is "Sylvirana latouchii (broad-folded frog) partial 16S ribosomal RNA". The stretch from base 167 to 869 matches the Rfam family "Bacterial large subunit ribosomal RNA", at positions 569 to 1825 of the family's 2925-position model. The record is from RNAcentral. Lineage: Eukaryota; Metazoa; Chordata; Amphibia; Anura; Ranidae.
GCCUAAAAUCUAGCCCACAUAAAUCCCAUGUAACCCUCAACCCACUGCCCCACAACAAAACAUUUUAACAUUUUAGUACAGGAGAUCAAAAAAUUCCUAGGCGCUUCAGAUAAAGUACCGCAAGGGAACGAUGAAAUAAAAAUGAAAUAAUUUUAAAGCCAUAAAUAGCAGAGAUCUCCCCUCGUACCUUUUGCAUCAUGGUCUAGCCAGUUUUAACAAGCAAAAAGAAAAUUUAAGUUUGUCACCCCGAAACUAAGCGAGCUACUUCAAAAUAGCCCCAAGGGGCCAACCCGUCUCUGUUGCAAAAGAGUGGGAAGAUUUUUAAGUAGAGGUGAUAAGCCUACCGAGCCUAGAGAUAGCUGGUUGUUCAGGAAAAGAGUCUUAGCUCUACCUUAAGUUUCUUUAUUAUACCAAAAAAUACCUUAAACUUAAGUGCUAUUCAAAUAAGGCACAGCUUAUUUGAAAAAGGAUACAACCUAUAAUACUGGGUAAAUAAGGGCAACCCAAACAAAGUGGGCCUAAAAGCAGCCACCUUUUAAAAAGCGUUACAGCUUAAUCAUCUUUACACCCCUAAUUAAUUUAGUCCCCCUCAACCCUUCAUCAAUACUGAACUGUUUUAUACUCUUAUAAAAGUCAUUAUGCUAGAACUAGUAACAAGAAUUUGCCCUUCUCCAAAAUGUAAGUAUAAGCCAAAACGGACUAUCCAUUGGCUCUUAACGUAAAUCCACACAAUAUAGUAACAAACAUCUAGAAAACCCUAUAAUCUUAAACGUUAACCUUACACCAGAACAUUUCAGGAAAGAUUAAAAGAGAAAGAAGGAACUCGGCAAACUUUAGCCCCGCCUGUUUACCAAAAACAUCGCCUCUUG